This 1358-nucleotide ribosomal RNA is filed under the name metagenome. RNAcentral describes it as "bacterial SSU rRNA". It matches the Rfam family "Bacterial small subunit ribosomal RNA", at positions 8 to 1372 of the family's 1533-position model. The record is from RNAcentral.
AGAGUUUGAUCCUGGCUCAGAUUGAACGCUGGCGGCAUGCCUAACACAUGCAAGUUGAACGCGAAGCGCCUUCGGGUGUGAGUAGUGGCGGACGGGUGAGUAACGCGUGGGAAUCUGCCCUGCAGUGGGGGACAACCCGAGGAAACUCGGGUUAAUAUUGUAUAUGUCUUAUGAGAGAAAGGGGGCUUUGGCUCUCGCUGCAGGAUGAGCCCGCGUCCGAUUAGCUUGUUGGUGGGGUAAUGGCCCACCAAGGCUGCGAUUGGUAGCUGGUCUGAGAGGAUGAUCAGCCAUAUUGGGAUUGAGAUAUGGUCCAGACUCCUACGGGAGGCAGCAGUGGGGAAUAUUGGACAAUGGGCGAAAGCCUGAUCCAGCAAUGUUGCGUGUGUGAAGAAGGCCUGCGGGUUGUAAAGCACUUUCAGUGGGGAAGAAAAGUGCGAGGUUAAUAUCCUUGUGUGUUGAUGUUACCCACAGAAGAAGCACCGGCUAACUCCGUGCCAGUAGUUGUGGUAAUACGGAGGGUGCAAGCGUUAAUCGGAAUCACUGGGCGUAAAGCGCACGUAGGCGGCUAGGUCAGUCAGAUGUGAAAGUCUUGGGUUUAAUUUGGGAAUUGCAUUUGAUACUGCCUGGCUUGAGUAUGGUAGAGGGAGGUGGAAUUCCAGGUGUAGUGGUGAAAUGUGUAGAUAUCUGGAGGAAUACCAGUGGUGAAGGUGGCCUCCUGGACUAAUACUGACGCUGAGGUGCGAAAGCGUGGGGAGCAAACAGGAUUAGAUAUUCUGGUAGUUUACGUUGUAAACGAUGUCGACUAGCCGUUGGAUCCAUUUAAGGGUUUAGUGGCGCAGUUAAUGCGAUAAGUCGACCGCCUGGGGAGUACGGCCGUAAGGUUAAAACUCAAAGGAAUUGAUGGGGGCCCGCACAAGCGGUGGAGCAUGUGGUUUAAUUCGAUGCAAUGCGAAGAACCUUACCAGCCCUUGACAUCCUCGGAACUUAGCAGAGAUGCUUUGGUGCCUUCGGGAGCCGAGUGACAGGUGCUGCAUGGCUGUCGUCAGCUCGUGUCGUGAGAUGUUGGGUUAAGUCCCCUAACGAGCGCAACCCUUGUCCUUAGUUGCCAGCACAUAAUGGUGGGAACUUUAAGGAGACUGUCGGUGAUAAACCGGAGGAAGGUGGGAUGACGUCAAGUCAUCAUGGCCCUUAUGGGCUGGCUACACACGUGCUACAAUGGUCGGUAUAGAGGGUUGCGAAGCAGUGAUGUGGAGUCAAUCCCAGAAAACCGAUCGUAGUCCGGAUUGCAGUUUGUAAUUUGACUGCAUGAAGUCGGAAUCGUUAGUAAUUGCGAAUUAGAAUGUUGUGGUGAAUACGUC